CGGUUGAUCCUGCCGGACCCGACUGCUAUUUGGGUGAGGAUAAGCCAUGCGAGUUGAAUGGGAUACCUAAAUUUCCCAUGGCAAACUGCUCAGUAACACAUGAUCAACUUACCCUAUAGAGAAAAAUAACCUCAGGAAACUGAGGAUAAUGUUUCAUAGUUGAAUAGGCUUGGAAAAGUUAUUCAACAAAAGGAAUAAAAACAAUGGUUUUUAUUCGCUAUAGGAUAGGAUCGUGUUCGAUUAUGGUCGUUGGUGAGGUAACGGCUCACCAAGCCGAUAAUCGAUAGGGGCCGUGAGAGCGGGAGCCCCGAGAUGGGUACUGAGACAGCGACCCAGGCCUUACGAGGCGCAGCAGGCGCGGAACCUCCGCAAUACACGAAAGUGUGACGGGGUUACCCAAAGUGUUCAGUUUUGAACUGUGGUAGGUGAGUAAUGUCCCCUACUAGAAAGGAGAGGGCAAGGCUGGUGCCAGCCGCCGCGGUAAAACCAGCUCUUCAAGUGGUCGGGAUAAUUAUUGGGCUUAAAGUGUCCGUAGCCGGUUUAGUAAGUUCCUGGUAAAAUCGGGUAGCUUAACUAUCUGCAUGCUAGGAAUACUGCUAUACUAGAGGGCGGGAGAGGUCUGAGGUACUACAGGGGUAGGGGUGAAAUCUUAUAAUCCUUGUAGGACCACCAGUGGCGAAGGCGUCAGACUGGAACGUGCCUGACGGUGAGGGACGAAAGCCAGGGGAGCGAACCGGAUUAGAUACCCGGGUAGUCCUGGCCGUAAACGAUGCAUACUAGGUGAUGGCAUGGCCAUGAGCCGUGUCAGUGCCGUAGGGAAACCGUUAAGUGUGCCGCCUGGGAAGUACGGUCGCAAGGCUAAAACUUAAAGGAAUUGGCGGGGGAGCAC
This 889-nucleotide ribosomal RNA is filed under the name uncultured archaeon. RNAcentral's name for it is "bacterial SSU rRNA". It matches the Rfam family "Archaeal small subunit ribosomal RNA", at positions 5 to 879 of the family's 1478-position model. The record is from RNAcentral.